This 81-nucleotide transfer RNA is filed under the name Desulfobacterales bacterium. RNAcentral describes it as "tRNA-Val". Lineage: Bacteria; Pseudomonadati; Thermodesulfobacteriota; Desulfobacteria; Desulfobacterales. RNAcentral also lists the same sequence under 1 other name. The record is from RNAcentral.
UCCCCAGUAGCUCAGUUGGCAUAGUCCGCCGCAGGCGGAUUAACCAUCGGGUCCGCGGUUCGAGUCCGUGCUGGGGAGCCA